GAUGAAGAACGUAGCGAAAUGCGAUACGUAAUGUGAAUUGCAAAUUCAGUGAAUCAUCGAAUCUUUGAACGCACAUUGCGCCCGCCAGUAUUCUGGCGGGCAUGCCUGUUCGAGCGUCAUUUCAACCAUCAAGCCCCAGGCUUGUGUUGGGGACCUGCGGCUGCCGCAGGCCCUGAAAACCAGUGGCGGGCUCGCUGUCACACCGGGCGUAGUAGAUUUUAUCUCGCUCAGGGCGUGCUGCGGGUUCCGGCCGUUAAAAAGCCUUUUUUACCCAAGGUUGACCUCGGAUCAGGUAGGAAGACCCGCUGAACUUAAGCAUAUCAAUAAGCGGAGGA
RNAcentral lists this unclassified non-coding RNA (335 nucleotides) under soil metagenome. Its description in RNAcentral is "partial contains 5.8S ribosomal RNA, internal transcribed spacer 2, and large subunit ribosomal RNA". The stretch from base 1 to 119 matches the Rfam family "5.8S ribosomal RNA", at positions 35 to 154 of the family's 154-position model. The record is from RNAcentral.